RNAcentral lists this long non-coding RNA (628 nucleotides) under Homo sapiens (human). RNAcentral describes it as "non-protein coding lnc-HNRNPA2B1-15:2". The record is from RNAcentral. Lineage: Eukaryota; Metazoa; Chordata; Mammalia; Primates; Hominidae.
AGCACAGCUACAGAGGUUCAGGAAAACCAACCCCAGGAGCGUGGAUGUUCACUGCCUUCCUUCAACCACUCCAGGCAGGAUUCCUGCGGAGCUGUAUUUACUUUACAUCCAUGUGAACUGCUGUCAUCACUACUGUGUCCAAGCCCAGAGGAUGAACUGGAAAAGAAGAGAGGGGGAAAAUAAUAAAAAGAGGAAAUUGGUUUUCACAACACACUCAAAGCCUGAGUAACAGAGGAGAACUUUAAUUAUCUCCAGUCACAAAGAGAGACAGGAAAUUUGGACUUUUAAUUAGCCAUUUGGAGUGCAGUUGGGUAUUUUUUUAGCUAGAUAAUUUAAACGCGAAUAAUUCAAGUCUGACUAAAUGAAAGUCACAUAAUCAGAAUGCAAAUAAUUGAAUUUCUACUGCAUUCAUUAAUUCAGUGUGGAGGUGUGUGUGAAGACUACUAUGAUGAGCUGUCACAGCUCAAUAAAAUCUCAGUCAAUUAAUUUUUUCAUUAUCUUAGUAUUAUAUCAACAAAAAAGUGAAGUGUGUAUAUAUAUCUAUACACGUGCAUAUGUGCAUACUAUGUAUUAUAUAAAUACAUAUACAUUAAAUCAAAAUGCAAGGAAAUACCUUUCUGAAUCAUAA